This 838-nucleotide ribosomal RNA is filed under the name uncultured organism. RNAcentral describes it as "bacterial SSU rRNA". It matches the Rfam family "Bacterial small subunit ribosomal RNA", at positions 507 to 1340 of the family's 1533-position model. The record is from RNAcentral.
GCCAGCAGCCGCGGUAAGACAAAUGUGGCAAGCGUUGUUCGGAAUCACUGGGCAUAAAGGGCACGUAGGCGGCGUAGUAAGUUAACUGUGAAAUCCCCCGGCUCAACCGGGGAACUGCAGUUAAUACUGCUGUGCUAGAGUGCAGAAGAGGAGAGUGGAAUUCUAGGUGUAGCGGUGGAAUGCGAAGAUAUCUAGGAGAAGGCCGGUGGCGAAAGCGACUCUCUGGUCUGUUACUGACGCUGAGGUGCGAGAGCGCAGGUAGCGAACGGGAUUAGAUACCCCGGUAGUCUGUGCCGUAAACGAUGGGCACUAGAUGGUGGAGGCGCCGAUAGCUUUCUCCGUCGCAGCUAAUACGUUAAGUGCCCCGCCUGGGGAGUAUGGCCGCAAGGUUAAAACUCAAAGGAAUUGACGGGGGCCCACACAAGCGGUGGAGGAUGUGGCUUAAUUCGAGGAUACCCGUAAAACCUUACCGAGGCUUGACAUGCAGGUGGUAGUGAAGUGAAAGCGGAACGACCCGAAUAGGGAGCCUGCACAGGUGCUGCAUGGCUGUCGACAGCUCGUGUCGUGAGAUGUUAGGUUAAGUCCUGUAACGAGCGAAACCCUUGUGCUUAAUUGCCAGCGCGUUAUGGCGGGGACCUUAAGCAGACUGCCCCGGCCAACGGGGAGGAAGGUGGGGAUGACGUCAAGUCAGCAUGGCCUUUAUGCCUCGGGCUGCACACGUCCUACAAUGGGCUGUACAAUGGGGACCCAAACCGCAAGGUGGAGGAAAUCCUAUAAAGCAGUCCUCAGUUCGGAUUGCAGGCUGAAAUUCGCCUGCAUGAAGAUGGAAUCGCUAGUA